UACGAAGGGGGCUAGCGUUGUUCGGAAUUACUGGGCGUAAAGCGCGCGCAGGCGGUCUUCCAAGUCAGUGGUGAAAGCCUGGAGCUCAACUCCAGAACUGCCAUUGAAACUGUUAGACUUGAGUACGAGAGAGGUGAGUGGAAUUCCCAGUGUAGAGGUGAAAUUCGUAGAUAUUGGGAAGAACACCGGUGGCGAAGGCGGCUCACUGGCUCAUUUCUGACGCUCAGGCGCGACAGCGUGGGGAUCAAACAGG
This 253-nucleotide ribosomal RNA is filed under the name uncultured bacterium. RNAcentral describes it as "partial 16S ribosomal RNA". It matches the Rfam family "Bacterial small subunit ribosomal RNA", at positions 524 to 776 of the family's 1533-position model. The record is from RNAcentral.